AUCUAAAACCUGCAGGACACCGGCCCUCCAGGCCUGGAGACGUUGCUAUGGCAGGAAUGCCUCUUCGUUCCAGAGAAUGAAGUGUGGGAUUUGUGUCAGCAAAUUCAGUGAAUGUGGAGGUAGUGAGGCUGACACCAUCUGACCUGCUUUAGCUUGCCUGACGUCCAGCUCCUCUACUUCAUGCUGACUUAUUCAGUGUCUGAUGGCUUCUCUGUUCUGUGUCAGUGGGAGUAUUUGGAGCCACAUGUGGAAACAUCACGGUGUAUAUGGACAUUUUCUUUGAUUAAAAUGGUCCUGAUGAACCUGACUGAGCCUCAUACAACAUGCAGUCAAACCUCAGUGGCCCUCGCAUUAACAAACACAACCCCAAAUAUGGCUGAUUUCCAUUUUCAGGACCACAGGCCGCUUUUAUUCAGCACAGUAUGGAAGCGUUGAAGAACUGAUGUUACAGCAGGGAGCCAUAUCUUCUCCUUUCAGCACUUAGGACGAGGGGAGAGACGAUCAUUAUGUGAUCAAAAUGGACUGUCAGUGGGAAGCAGCUCUAAGCUGGGAUUAGUCUGAUAUGACAAGAUGUGCCGCCGUACAAGAGCUCCCCUAAGAAAAACACUGUGUCAAAUUACAUUUUGCAUAUCAAAAGGCAUUUUAUUAUGUUAUGGGCAAUUUCUCAAAUGGAUCUUUAUUACUCUGACUCUGCUCAACUCAAACAAGAUUCCCAGGAAUCACACUCACU
Oreochromis niloticus (Nile tilapia) is the source of this 730-nucleotide long non-coding RNA. RefSeq lists it as uncharacterized. The record is from RefSeq and is a predicted model, not a curated record. The transcript has 2 exons. NCBI's taxonomy places the organism in Eukaryota, Metazoa, Chordata, Actinopteri, Cichliformes, Cichlidae.